GUGUGCAGCAGCUCUCUUAGCUGCGCCCGAUCUCGUCUGAUCUCAGAAGCUAAGCAGGGUCGGGCCUGGUUAGUACUUGGAUGGGAAGGGUGACCUCUGAUGGCUAGCAGACG
RNAcentral lists this ribosomal RNA (113 nucleotides) under Sinocyclocheilus rhinocerous. The record is from RNAcentral. Lineage: Eukaryota; Metazoa; Chordata; Actinopteri; Cypriniformes; Cyprinidae.